UUAAAGUUUAAUUUUAACUUAAAAAUUUAUUUAAUUUUUUAUUUACAUGUAAUUAAUAGGAGGAAAAUAAUAUAGGUUUUAAUAAUUUAUGUUAAUAAAUUUAAUCGCAGUAUAAGGUUUUAUUGAUUUAAGAAAUUAAGAAUUAUAAAUAAGUUUAAAUAUUAACUAAAUUUGUGCCAGCAGUUGCGGUUAAACAGGAAAUAUAAGUAAAUUAUAUUGGUUGAUAGAAAAAGGAGGAUUAAAAAUAUUUAAAAUUAAAUUUAUUAGGUGAAAUUAAAAAAUUUAAAAUAAUUAUUAUAUUUGUUCUUGAUUUUAUGAAAUUUUUAAUUUAAACUAGGAUUAGAUACCCUAUUAUAAAAAAUGUAAAAAUUUUCAUCUAAGUAGUAUUAGUUAAGGUCUAGAAAUUUAAAAAUUUUGGCGGUGUUUUAGUCUAUUCAGAGGAACCUGUCCUAUAAUUGAUAAUCCACGAUAAAUUGUACUUAAUUAAAAAAUUUGUAUAUCAUCGUUAUAAAAUAUUUUAGAAGGAUAAAAUAUUUAUAAUUUUUUAUAAUAAAAUAUAUCAGAUCAAGGUGCAGUUUAUAUUUAAGAAGAGAUGGGUUACAAUAAAUUUAUUUAAAUGGAUUUAAAUAUUAAAAUUUUAAUGAAAGUGGAUUUGAAAGUAAGAUAAUUAAAAUAUUUUAUUUGAUUUUAGCUCUAAAAUGUGUACAUAUCGCCCGUCACUCUUAUUAUAAAGUAAGAUAAGUCGUAACAAAGUAGAUGUACUGGAAAGUGUAUCUAGAAUGA
This 783-nucleotide non-coding RNA is filed under the name Deronectes angusi. The record is from RNAcentral. Lineage: Eukaryota; Metazoa; Arthropoda; Insecta; Coleoptera; Dytiscidae.